UACUCUGGUGGCCUAGUGGUUAGAGCAUCUGCCUCAGAAGCGUGAGGUCAUGGGUUCGAUUCCUGGUUGAGUCA
Potamilus streckersoni is the source of this 74-nucleotide non-coding RNA. The record is from the annotation of a GenBank genome assembly. Lineage: Eukaryota; Metazoa; Mollusca; Bivalvia; Unionida; Unionidae.